AAUAAAGUGCCUGAUAAAAGGGUUAUUUUGAUAGAAUAAAUUAUAUAAUUUAAUUAUCUUUAUUA
RNAcentral lists this transfer RNA (65 nucleotides) under Triaenodes tardus. Its description in RNAcentral is "tRNA-Ile". Lineage: Eukaryota; Metazoa; Arthropoda; Insecta; Trichoptera; Leptoceridae. The record is from RNAcentral.